CAAAUGCCUACUGCUGUCUCUG
RNAcentral lists this microRNA (22 nucleotides) under Gallus gallus (chicken). Its description in RNAcentral is "microRNA Ros-gga". Lineage: Eukaryota; Metazoa; Chordata; Aves; Galliformes; Phasianidae. The record is from RNAcentral.